AUACAGAGGGUGCGAGCGUUAAUCGGAAUUACUGGGCGUAAAGCGCGCGUAGGCGGUUAUUUAAGUCAGAUGUGAAAUCCCUGGGCUCAACCUAGGAACUGCAUCUGAAACUGGGUAACUAGAGUUUAGGAGAGGGGAGUAGAAUUUCGGGUGUAGCGGUGAAAUGCAUAGAGAUCCGAAGGAAUACCAGUGGCGAAGGCGGCUCCCUGGCCUAGAACUGACGCUGAGGUGCGAAAGCGUGGGUAGCAAACGGGAUUAGAAACCCUAGUAGUCC
Molecule: ribosomal RNA, 274 nt
Filed under: uncultured bacterium
Lineage: Bacteria
Description: partial 16S ribosomal RNA
Rfam family: Bacterial small subunit ribosomal RNA
Source: RNAcentral